This 675-nucleotide ribosomal RNA is filed under the name Kocuria rosea. RNAcentral describes it as "bacterial SSU rRNA". It matches the Rfam family "Bacterial small subunit ribosomal RNA", at positions 61 to 747 of the family's 1533-position model. Lineage: Bacteria; Bacillati; Actinomycetota; Actinomycetes; Micrococcales; Micrococcaceae. The record is from RNAcentral.
GUCGAACGAUGAUGCCCAGCUUGCUGGGCGGAUUAGUGGCGAACGGGUGAGUAAUACGUGAGUAACCUGCCCUUGACUCUGGGAUAAGCCUGGGAAACUGGGUCUAAUACUGGAUACUACCUCUUGCCGCAUGGUGGGUGGUGGAAAGGGUUUUACUGGUUUUGGAUGGGCUCACGGCCUAUCAGCUUGUUGGUGGGGUAAUGGCUCACCAAGGCGACGACGGGUAGCCGGCCUGAGAGGGUGACCGGCCACACUGGGACUGAGACACGGCCCAGACUCCUACGGGAGGCAGCAGUGGGGAAUAUUGCACAAUGGGCGGAAGCCUGAUGCAGCGACGCCGCGUGAGGGAUGACGGCCUUCGGGUUGUAAACCUCUUUCAGUAGGGAAGAAGCGAGAGUGACGGUACCUGCAGAAGAAGCGCCGGCUAACUACGUGCCAGCAGCCGCGGUAAUACGUAGGGCGCAAGCGUUGUCCGGAAUUAUUGGGCGUAAAGAGCUCGUAGGCGGUUUGUCGCGUCUGCUGUGAAAGCCCGGGGCUCAACCCCGGGUCUGCAGUGGGUACGGGCAGACUAGAGUGCAGUAGGGGAGACUGGAAUUCCUGGUGUAGCGGUGAAAUGCGCAGAUAUCAGGAGGAACACCGAUGGCGAAGGCAGGUCUCUGGGCUGUUACUGACGCU